Molecule: long non-coding RNA, 2551 nt
Organism: Xenopus laevis (African clawed frog)
Lineage: Eukaryota; Metazoa; Chordata; Amphibia; Anura; Pipidae
Exons: 3
Source: RefSeq, a predicted model, not a curated record
UCCACCCACGUGAGGUACAAACACGCCCCCACAUAUAAUAACCCCACUCCUAUAUGUCGCUGCUCCACUUUAUUUGUUUUUGCAGAAGGUGGUGACCCUACCAGCAGCGUAACAACUCUGGGCCGGGCCCCUCCAGGCUCUGACUGAGAUGAGCAGCUUGCGUCGGCUCCCCCCGACAAAGAACUGUUGAAGGGGAAGGGAGCAGCUUCCUCCGGCUCUAUUUCCCCCACCCCGCAAAAAAAUCGUUGAUGGGGUCAUGCUCAACAUGCAGGUAGCAGCUUCCCUGGCUCAUUCCCCCCUCCCCCGGUGAAAUAUCGUUAAUGGGACUGGGCCGACUGCGGGGAGCAGCUUCCCCAGCUCGCCCCCCCCAGAGAAAAAUCAUUAAUGGGGCCGGGCCCUGGAUUAUGGCGUGUAUGCCACAGUGCAAAAGAAUAUGGCAUCACUGUAAACCACAAACACUUAAACAUUGCUGGACCUAUUUAGGUGAGGGGAACCCUAGAGAAAUGACAUCUCCAUCAAUUUAAAUAAUCAGAUACUACUUUUUAGAAUGAAAAAGAUAAAGGCAGUAUAAACUGUAGCUCUUGAGACGUCAAACUAGAAACACCAGCUUUGGCAAAACGCCCUUUGCUUUGGCAACUACCAACAUUUUUCCUUAUCAAUGGUUGUGUAAACAGUGACUGACUGACUCCUAGGAUACCAGGAAAACCCCCGGUGGGCCCUACUGCUUACUCAAUUUGGUUCCUAUACCAUGAACAUUCUCCAUUUCUAUUGGAGAACAGAAAAUAAGAAAUGGAAGGAUGCAUACAUGAUAAUAUUUAACGAGAAGAGAAUAAAGAAAGUGAGUGAAGGAAACAUUUUUUGGAGACGUGUGAAAUCCCACCAAUGUCUUAAAACUAUUGUGACAGUUGGAAAAAGUAAAGCAAAAACAGAAGUGUCUCCCCUCGACUGGCCAGGGUCAGAAUGUAUGAAUAGGAAGUUUGUCCCUGUUUGCCACUAAAGCCUUCUCCAUCACAAUCAGUAGAUGUUUCAUUUACCUCUCCCAUCUUCCCACAAUUUAUAAGAGAUUAUUUAUUUCUAAGGUGCAGAGUACAAGUCAUGGUUUUUGACCCACAAUGCAGCAUUUUUUCCACAAUUCUAUCAAUCAUAAUUGUGAUGUGAUGCACCUCAUGCAAUUGUGCUGAUGCAUUCAAAAAAUCUUCAGCACGUCAUAAUUUCCUAACACUCUGCGUCCAAAUUAUAUCUUCACCAGAUUAUUUUGGCUCAAAUUCACGGAUUCAUUUGACACAGCACUGUAGAAAACCUGGAUGUACCACCACCUUCAAGGGUUCCAUUGAAUCACUUGGCAAACAGCAGGCAAUUGACAAGAUUAGGUUGGAUGGAACUAUACAAAGAUUCAAGGAGCAGUUUUAGAUACAAGUACCUUUAAAAAAAAAACCUGUGUACGAACCCAAAGUGCAGUUGCAGUUACGUAAUUGCAAGCACAGUUGUUGCACGACCGCAACUGUACUUGUGGGCUGUAAAUAGUCCUUACAUGUAGUACCUGGAGCCUAACUCCAUCAUUCUCUUUCCUUGUUAUUUACAGUAGUUCCUAGUAACUAUGACUUUCUACAUAUACUAUAUAUUAUAAGAGUUGUGGUUAAAAAGACCAGUACUAGGCUGGUGAAUAGUAAACUCCAGGGAAAAUGUGUAUUUCUGCAGCAAGUAAGGCUGUUUGCUUAUUUUACUGGCUCAGUAAAUGCCAGAUAAAUGGGUCCCUGGAGUGAAUGGGGAGAGCAGGGUGGGCUUUCCACUCCUUGCUCCAUUAAGUGUUUUCAGCUGCCCAGCUAGAAGUAGCAAUGUAAUUAGGAUGCAGGUGAGCUGCAGACAAAAAGACGUAUGGGGCUACACUUCAGUGCUUUCUACCCUAGAGACCUCCUGAAGCUGGAGGAGGGUGAGGGGCCGUGGACACCUCCAAGUGCAGAAAGGAGGUGUGAUUGUGUGUGCAGCUGGGAAGGAGAUAUGAGAGUGAUUCCCUGAGCGUGAUUCCCUGCUGACCUGAAGUGUUGGAGAGAGCUCCAAAGGACUGGAGAGAGGAAGAGAGAAACUCCUCCCAGGGGCAAGUGUGUCAAGUGUGAGUCCAAGAGAGGAUUCUGGGACUUGUAUGGUGAAAGCUAUUACAUUGAUACAGGGUAGCUAUUGCCGUCUGGAGAGCCUGGACCGGGUAACGUCCCUUGAGGAACCCCACCUGGUGAGCGGUGCGUCUAAGACCUCCCUGUCCUGCACUGAAAGUUUGGAUAAGUGGGCAUUACGUAAGAAAGAGAGGCCUUCUUCUGGAUGAUCCUGAUUCUCUUCGUAAAAGCGCUUAAAAUAUGUCUCAAGUUCAGCUACAAUGGCUUCAGUGUCCCGAGCCCAACCCUCCUCCGUUUUUAAUUUCUUAAUGAAGUGUUGCGCCGUAUGGGGUUUGGUUAUUCUGGCAAGGAGUCUCCCCGAUUUAUUCCCCCACCUGUAAAACUUAUUUUUCAUAUGAGAAAUUUUGUACUGGGCGCUGUCAUGUAAUAAAGUAUUAAACAAA